GCGGGAAUAGCUCAGUUGGUAGAGCACGACCUUGCCAAGGUCGGGGUCGCGAGUUCGAGUCUCUAUUUCUUCC
RNAcentral lists this transfer RNA (73 nucleotides) under Klebsiella pneumoniae. RNAcentral's name for it is "tRNA-Gly". It matches the Rfam family "tRNA". Rfam says of the family: Transfer RNA (tRNA) molecules are approximately 80 nucleotides in length. Their secondary structure includes four short double-helical elements and three loops (D, anti-codon, and T loops). The record is from RNAcentral. Lineage: Bacteria; Pseudomonadati; Pseudomonadota; Gammaproteobacteria; Enterobacterales; Enterobacteriaceae.